Molecule: ribosomal RNA, 495 nt
Filed under: uncultured bacterium
Lineage: Bacteria
Description: partial 16S ribosomal RNA
Rfam family: Bacterial small subunit ribosomal RNA
Source: RNAcentral
GACGAACGCUGGCGGCGUGCCUAAUACAUGCAAGUAGAACGCUGAAGGAGGAGCUUGCUUCUCUGGAUGAGUUGCGAACGGGUGAGUAACGCGUAGGUAACCUGCCUGGUAGCGGGGGAUAACUAUUGGAAACGAUAGCUAAUACCGCAUAAUAGCACUUGUUGCAUGAUAACUGUUUGAAAGUUGCAAUAGCACCACUACCAGAUGGACCUGCGUUGUAUUAGCUAGUUGGUGGGGUAACGGCUCACCAAGGCGACGAUACAUAGCCGACCUGAGACGGUGAGCUGCCACACUGGGACUGAGACACGGCCCAGACUCCUACGGGAGGCAGCAGUAGGGAAUCUUCGGCAAUGGACGGAAGUCUGACCGAGCAACGCCGCGUGAGUGAAGAAGGUUUUCGGAUCGUAAAGCUCUGUUGUAAGAGAAGAACGAGUGUGAGAGUGGAAAGUUCACACUGUGACGGUAUCUGACCAGAAAGGGACGGCUAACUACGUG